RNAcentral lists this ribosomal RNA (460 nucleotides) under uncultured bacterium. RNAcentral describes it as "partial 16S ribosomal RNA". It matches the Rfam family "Bacterial small subunit ribosomal RNA", at positions 338 to 795 of the family's 1533-position model. The record is from RNAcentral.
CCUACGGGAGGCAGCAGUGAGGAAUAUUGGUCAAUGGACGAGAGUCUGAACCAGCCAAGUAGCGUGAAGGAUGACUGCCCUAUGGGUUGUAAACUUCUUUUAUAUGGGAAUAAAAUGUUCCACGUGUGGGAUUUUGUAUGUACCAUAUGAAUAAGGAACGGCUAACUCCGGGCCAGCAGCCGCGGUAAUACGGAGGAUCCGAGCGUUAUCCGGAUUUAUUGGGUUUAAAGGGAGCGUAGGUGGAUUGUUAAGUCAGUUGUGAAAGUUUGCGGCUCAACCGUAAAAUUGCAGUUGAAACUGGCAGUCUUGAGUACAGUAGAGGUGGGCGGAAUUCGUGGUGUAGCGGUGAAAUGCUUAGAUAUCACGAAGAACUCCGAUUGCGAAGGCAGUUCACUGGACUGCAACUGACACUGAGGCUCGAAAGUGUGGGUAUCAAACAGGAUUAGAUACCCCGGUAGUC